Molecule: ribosomal RNA, 431 nt
Filed under: uncultured bacterium
Lineage: Bacteria
Description: partial 16S ribosomal RNA
Rfam family: Bacterial small subunit ribosomal RNA
Source: RNAcentral
AACGAACGCUGGCGGCAGGCUUAACACAUGCAAGUCGUGCGCCCCGCACCUUUCGCGGCUGCCGGGUUAGUAACGCGUUGGAACGUACCCUUAUCUUCUGGCCAGCUCCGGGAAACUGGAAUUAAUACCUAAUGUGCCCUUUGGGGGAAAGAUUUAUCGGAUAAGGAUCGGCCCGCGUUGGCUUAGCUAGGUGGUGGGGUAAAGGCCUACCAAGGCGACGAGCCAUAGCUUGUCUGAGAGGAUGAUCAGCCACAUUGGGACUGAGACACGUCCCAAACUCCUACGAGAGGCAGCAGUGGGGAAUAUUGGACAAUGGGCGCAAGCCUGAUCCAGCCAUGCCGCGUGAGUGAUGAAGGCCUUAGGGUUGUAAAGCUCUUUCACCGGAGAAGAUAAUGACGGUAUCCGGAGAAGAAGCCCCGGCUAACUUCGUG